Molecule: ribosomal RNA, 253 nt
Filed under: uncultured prokaryote
Description: partial 16S ribosomal RNA
Rfam family: Bacterial small subunit ribosomal RNA
Source: RNAcentral
UACAGAGGGUGCAAGCGUUGCUCGGAAUUAUUGGGCGUAAAGGGUAGGUAGGUGGUCUCGUUUGUCUGAGGUGAAAGCCCUGGGCUUAACCUAGGAAGUGCCUUGGAAACGGCGAGACUUGAGUCCUGGAGAGGGUCGUGGAAUUCCCGGUGUAGCGGUGAAAUGCGUAGAGAUCGGGAGGAACACCGGUGGCGAAGGCGGCCAUCUGGACGGAUACUGACGCUGAGGCGCGAAAGCGUGGGGAUCAAACAGG